Molecule: ribosomal RNA, 319 nt
Filed under: bacterium SCGC AAA074-I07
Lineage: Bacteria
Description: bacterial SSU rRNA
Rfam family: Bacterial small subunit ribosomal RNA
Source: RNAcentral
GGGUAAUGGCUCACCAAGGCGACGAUCCGUAACUGGUCUGAGAGGAUGAUCAGUCACACUGGAACUGAGACACGGUCCAGACUCCUACGGGAGGCAGCAGUGGGGAAUAUUGGACAAUGGGCGAAAGCCUGAUCCAGCCAUGCCGCGUGUGUGAAGAAGGUCUUCGGAUUGUAAAGCACUUUAAGUUGGGAGGAAGGGCAGUAAAUUAAUACUUUGCUGUUUUGACGUUACCGACAGAAUAAGCACCGGCUAACUCUGUGCCAGCAGCCGCGGUAAUACAGAGGGUGCAAGCGUUAAUCGGAAUUACUGGGCGUAAAGC